AUUCCUACGGGAGGCAGCAGUAAGGAAUAUUGGUCAAUGGACGGAAGUCUGAACCAGCCAUGCCGCGUGCAGGAAGACGGUCCUCUGGAUUGUAAACUGCUUUUGUUAGGGAAGAAACUUCCGUACGUGUACGGGACUGACGGUACCUAAAGAAUAAGGAUCGGCUAACUCCGUGCCAGCAGCCGCGGUAAUAC
Molecule: ribosomal RNA, 194 nt
Filed under: uncultured bacterium
Lineage: Bacteria
Description: partial 16S ribosomal RNA
Rfam family: Bacterial small subunit ribosomal RNA
Source: RNAcentral